UAACGAAUCUUCCGCAAUGCACGAAAGUGUGACGGAGCGACGCCGCGUGUAGGACGAAGCCCUUCGGGGUGUAAACUACUGUCAGGGGAAAGAAAGUACUGAUCUACCCCAGAGGAAGGCACGGCUAACUCUGUGCCAGCAGCCGCGGUAAGACAGAGGUGCCGAGCGUUAGGCGGAAUCACUGGGCUUAAAGCGUGUGUAGGCGGAUGCCUACGUACCUUGUGAAAUCCCACGGCUUAACCGUGGAAC
Molecule: ribosomal RNA, 249 nt
Filed under: uncultured Phycisphaerae bacterium
Lineage: Bacteria; Pseudomonadati; Planctomycetota; Phycisphaerae
Description: partial 16S ribosomal RNA
Rfam family: Bacterial small subunit ribosomal RNA
Source: RNAcentral